Molecule: ribosomal RNA, 2404 nt
Filed under: Escherichia coli
Lineage: Bacteria; Pseudomonadati; Pseudomonadota; Gammaproteobacteria; Enterobacterales; Enterobacteriaceae
Description: partial 23S ribosomal RNA
Rfam family: Bacterial large subunit ribosomal RNA
Source: RNAcentral
GUACGUACAAGCAGUGGGAGCACAGAGCAAUCUGUGUGACUGCGUACCUUUUGUAUAAUGGGUCAGCGACUUAUAUUCUGUAGCAAGGUUAACCGAAUAGGGGAGCCGAAGGGAAACCGAGUCUUAACUGGGCGUUAAGUUGCAGGGUAUAGACCCGAAACCCGGUGAUCUAGCCAUGGGCAGGUUGAAGGUUGGGUAACACUAACUGGAGGACCGAACCGACUAAUGUUGAAAAAUUAGCGGAUGACUUGUGGCUGGGGGUGAAAGGCCAAUCAAACCGGGAGAUAGCUGGUUCUCCCCGAAAGCUAUUUAGGUAGCGCCUCGUGAAUUCAUCUCCGGGGGUAGAGCACUGUUUCGGCAAGGGGGUCAUCCCGACUUACCAACCCGAUGCAAACUGCGAAUACCGGAGAAUGUUAUCACGGGAGACACACGGCGGGUGCUAACGUCCGUCGUGAAGAGGGAAACAACCCAGACCGCCAGCUAAGGUCCCAAAGUCAUGGUUAAGUGGGAAACGAUGUGGGAAGGCCCAGACAGCCAGGAUGUUGGCUUAGAAGCAGCCAUCAUUUAAAGAAAGCGUAAUAGCUCACUGGUCGAGUCGGCCUGCGCGGAAGAUGUAACGGGGCUAAACCAUGCACCGAAGCUGCGGCAGCGACACUGUGUGUUGUUGGGUAGGGGAGCGUUCUGUAAGCCUGUGAAGGUGUGCUGUGAGGCAUGCUGGAGGUAUCAGAAGUGCGAAUGCUGACAUAAGUAACGAUAAAGCGGGUGAAAAGCCCGCUCGCCGGAAGACCAAGGGUUCCUGUCCAACGUUAAUCGGGGCAGGGUGAGUCGACCCCUAAGGCGAGGCCGAAAGGCGUAGUCGAUGGGAAACAGGUUAAUAUUCCUGUACUUGGUGUUACUGCGAAGGGGGGACGGAGAAGGCUAUGUUGGCCGGGCGACGGUUGUCCCGGUUUAAGCGUGUAGGCUGGUUUUCCAGGCAAAUCCGGAAAAUCAAGGCUGAGGCGUGAUGACGAGGCACUACGGUGCUGAAGCAACAAAUGCCCUGCUUCCAGGAAAAGCCUCUAAGCAUCAGGUAACAUCAAAUCGUACCCCAAACCGACACAGGUGGUCAGGUAGAGAAUACCAAGGCGCUUGAGAGAACUCGGGUGAAGGAACUAGGCAAAAUGGUGCCGUAACUUCGGGAGAAGGCACGCUGAUAUGUAGGUGAAGUCCCUCGCGGAUGGAGCUGAAAUCAGUCGAAGAUACCAGCUGGCUGCAACUGUUUAUUAAAAACACAGCACUGUGCAAACACGAAAGUGGACGUAUACGGUGUGACGCCUGCCCGGUGCCGGAAGGUUAAUUGAUGGGGUCAGCGCAAGCGAAGCUCUUGAUCGAAGCCCCGGUAAACGGCGGCCGUAACUAUAACGGUCCUAAGGUAGCGAAAUUCCUUGUCGGGUAAGUUCCGACCUGCACGAAUGGCGUAAUGAUGGCCAGGCUGUCUCCACCCGAGACUCAGUGAAAUUGAACUCGCUGUGAAGAUGCAGUGUACCCGCGGCAAGACGGAAAGACCCCGUGAACCUUUACUAUAGCUUGACACUGAACAUUGAGCCUUGAUGUGUAGGAUAGGUGGGAGGCUUUGAAGUGUGGACGCCAGUCUGCAUGGAGCCGACCUUGAAAUACCACCCUUUAAUGUUUGAUGUUCUAACGUGGACCCGUGAUCCGGGUUGCGGACAGUGUCUGGUGGGUAGUUUGACUGGGGCGGUCUCCUCCUAAAGAGUAACGGAGGAGCACGAAGGUUGGCUAAUCCUGGUCGGACAUCAGGAGGUUAGUGCAAUGGCAUAAGCCAGCUUGACUGCGAGCGUGACGGCGCGAGCAGGUGCGAAAGCAGGUCAUAGUGAUCCGGUGGUUCUGAAUGGAAGGGCCAUCGCUCAACGGAUAAAAGGUACUCCGGGGAUAACAGGCUGAUACCGCCCAAGAGUUCAUAUCGACGGCGGUGUUUGGCACCUCGAUGUCGGCUCAUCACAUCCUGGGGCUGAAGUAGGUCCCAAGGGUAUGGCUGUUCGCCAUUUAAAGUGGUACGCGAGCUGGGUUUAGAACGUCGUGAGACAGUUCGGUCCCUAUCUGCCGUGGGCGCUGGAGAACUGAGGGGGGCUGCUCCUAGUACGAGAGGACCGGAGUGGACGCAUCACUGGUGUUCGGGUUGUCAUGCCAAUGGCACUGCCCGGUAGCUAAAUGCGGAAGAGAUAAGUGCUGAAAGCAUCUAAGCACGAAACUUGCCCCGAGAUGAGUUCUCCCUGACCCUUUAAGGGUCCUGAAGGAACGUUGAAGACGACGACGUUGAUAGGCCGGGUGUGUAAGCGCAGCGAUGCGUUGAGCUAACCGGUACUAAUGAACCGUGAGGCUUAACCUUACAACGCCGAAGGUGUUU